Molecule: transfer RNA, 94 nt
Filed under: Streptomyces paromomycinus
Lineage: Bacteria; Bacillati; Actinomycetota; Actinomycetes; Kitasatosporales; Streptomycetaceae
Description: tRNA-Arg
Source: RNAcentral
GGGGGGUGGUCCGGUUCAUGGUCGGGUGUUCUCCUGUGGUCCCGGAGCGCCUUCGAUCAGCGCGCUGAUGCGGGUGCUGGACCGGCGCGCUUCC